UACGAAGGGGGCUAGCGUUGCUCGGAUUGACUGGGCGUAAAGGGCGCGUAGGCGGUUCGUACAGUCAGACGUGAAAUCCCUCGGCUUAACCGGGGAACUGCGUCUGAUACUGGAUGGCUUGAGUUUGGGAGAGGGAUGCGGAAUUCCAGGUGUAGCGGUGAAAUGCGUAGAUAUCGAGAGGAACACCGGUGGCGAAGGCGGCCUUCUGGACAGUGACUGACGCUGAGACGCGAAAGCGUGGGGAUCAAACAGG
RNAcentral lists this ribosomal RNA (253 nucleotides) under uncultured bacterium. RNAcentral's name for it is "partial 16S ribosomal RNA". It matches the Rfam family "Bacterial small subunit ribosomal RNA", at positions 524 to 776 of the family's 1533-position model. The record is from RNAcentral.